Molecule: transfer RNA, 70 nt
Filed under: bovine gut metagenome
Rfam family: tRNA
About the family: Transfer RNA (tRNA) molecules are approximately 80 nucleotides in length. Their secondary structure includes four short double-helical elements and three loops (D, anti-codon, and T loops). Further hydrogen bonds mediate the characteristic L-shaped molecular structure. tRNAs have two regions of fundamental functional importance: the anti-codon, which is responsible for specific mRNA codon recognition, and the 3' end, to which the tRNAs corresponding amino acid is attached (by aminoacyl-tRNA synthetases). tRNAs cope with the degeneracy of the genetic code in two manners: having more than one tRNA (with a specific anti-codon) for a particular amino acid; and 'wobble' base-pairing, i.e. permitting non-standard base-pairing at the 3rd anti-codon position.
Source: RNAcentral
CGGAAAUAGCUCAGUUGGUAGAGCGUUGGCUUCCCAAGCCGAAGGUCGCGGGUCCGAACCCCGUUUUCCG